Molecule: ribosomal RNA, 459 nt
Filed under: uncultured bacterium
Lineage: Bacteria
Description: partial 16S ribosomal RNA
Rfam family: Bacterial small subunit ribosomal RNA
Source: RNAcentral
CCUACGGGGGGCAGCAGUGAGGAAUAUUGGUCAAUGGGCGGGAGCCUGAACCAGCCAAGCCGCGUGAGGGAAGAAGGUACUGUGGAUCGUAAACCUCUUUUGUCAGGGAACAAAGGCGGGGACGUGUCCCCGGCUGCGGGUACCUGAAGAAAAAGCAUCGGCUAACUCCGUGCCAGCAGCCGCGGUAAUACGGAGGAUGCGAGCGUUAUCCGGAUUUAUUGGGUUUAAAGGGUGCGCAGGCGGCCUGUUAAGUCAGCGGUAAAAGCCCGGGGCUCAACCCCGGCGAGCCGUUGAAACUGGCGGGCUUGAGUUGGAGAGAAGUACGCGGAAUGCGCGGUGUAGCGGUGAAAUGCUUAGAUAUCGCGCAGAACCCCGAUUGCGAAGGCAGCGUACCGGCGCCACACUGACGCUGAGGCACGAAAGCGUGGGGAUCGAACAGGAUUAGAUACCCUAGUAGUC